AUUGAACGCUGGCGGAAUGCUUUACACAUGCAAGUCGAGCGGCCGCGCGGCCUUCGGGCUGGCGGCGAGCGGCGAACGGGUGAGUAAUGCAUCGGAACAUGCCCAGUCGUGGGGGAUAACACUUCGAAAGAAGUGCUAAUACCGCAUACGUCCUGAGGGGGAAAGCGGGGGAUCGCAAGACCUCGCGCGAUUGGAGUGGCCGAUGUCAGAUUAGCUAGUUGGUGGGGUAAAGGCCUACCAAGGCGACGAUCUGUAGCUGGUCUGAGAGGAUGAUCAGCCACACUGGGACUGAGACACGGCCCAGACUCCUACGGGAGGCAGCAGUGGGGAAUUUUGGACAAUGGGGGCAACCCUGAUCCAGCCAUUCCGCGUGAGUGAAGAAGGCCUUCGGGUUGUAAAGCUCUUUCGGCAGGAACGAAACGGUGGGCUCUAACAUAGUCCGCUAAUGACGGUACCUGAAGAAGAAGCACCGGCUAACUACGUG
RNAcentral lists this ribosomal RNA (484 nucleotides) under uncultured bacterium. Its description in RNAcentral is "partial 16S ribosomal RNA". It matches the Rfam family "Bacterial small subunit ribosomal RNA", at positions 30 to 507 of the family's 1533-position model. The record is from RNAcentral.